Daphnia magna is the source of this 690-nucleotide long non-coding RNA. RefSeq lists it as uncharacterized. Lineage: Eukaryota; Metazoa; Arthropoda; Branchiopoda; Diplostraca; Daphniidae. The transcript has 6 exons. The record is from RefSeq and is a predicted model, not a curated record.
ACGGAGCAUCAUCUGUAAUAUUCGUUUCCUGGAGUUUAUCAACCGACGUCCAUCUUAAAAUUCGCUGCUGCUCGUCUAUGGCAUUCAUUAUCGUUGAUUCGCUGCAUUGUUUCGCAAACGUCCAAAUUGGUGUUUGCAUACACUGACAAGAUCUUCCAGCUGCAUUGAAGGAUGCAGUAUUGCUAUGGAAACCAUUUGCACACAUCUUGAUCACCAUGUUGUUUCAAAAUGCUAUUGCUGACAAUCACUGGAAUUCCUAAUGGAUCUGUCUGAAACCUGAUUGGGUUUAUUGCAGUUAGACCAAUGGCAGAAUACAUUCAUGCACAAAAAGUUCCGGUUGAAAACUACAUACUGUAUGUGUGCGCCAGGAAGUAAGGAAACCGUUCAAUACAAGUGAUCUAUUGCUACCGAAGGUUUGGAAUUGCAACGUGAAACAGGGGGGAAAGUGUACCAUCCAACGAAAAUGAAAACAACUGUUAGACAUCCAAGGAGGAUUCCUGGUCGACUUGAGGAAAUUCGCAACGUUUGUAGAGCAGUUGCAGAUGGCACUGGGCUUUCUUAUGGAUUUUGAACGGAUUGCAUGCUUCGAAGAAGCGGUCGCUGUAUCUUUGCAUUGUUAAAUACCAAUUAUGGUAAUGUGACAGGAAUGUACUUAUUUAAUCGAGAAAUACAUAUAGCCUUGAAAAUCAA